AUUGAACGCUGGCGGCAGGCCUAACACAUGCAAGUCGAGCGGCAGCGGGAAAGUAGCUUGCUACUUUUGCCGGCGAGCGGCGGACGGGCGAGUAAUGCCUGGGAAAUUGCCCAGUCGAGGGGGAUAACAGUUGGAAACGACUGCUAAUACCGCAUACGCCCUACGGGGGAAAGCAGGGGACUUUCGGGCCUUGCGCGUUCGGAUAUGCUCAGGUGGGAUUAGCUAGUUGGUGAGGUAAUGGCUCACCAAGGCGACGAUCCCUAGCUGGUCUGAGAGGAUGAUCAGCCACACUGGAACUGAGACACGGUCCAGACUCCUACGGGAGGCAGCAGUGGGGAAUAUUGCACAAUGGGGGAAACCCUGAUGCAGCCAUGCCGCGUGUGUGAAGAAGGCCUUCGGGUUGUAAAGCACUUUCAGCGAGGAGGAAAGGUUGAUGCCUAAUACGUAUCAACUGUGACGUUACUCGCAGAAGAAGCACCGGCUAACUCCGUGCCAGCAGCCGCAGUAA
This 508-nucleotide ribosomal RNA is filed under the name uncultured bacterium. RNAcentral's name for it is "partial 16S ribosomal RNA". It matches the Rfam family "Bacterial small subunit ribosomal RNA", at positions 30 to 523 of the family's 1533-position model. The record is from RNAcentral.